UACGGAAGGCAGCAGUGGGGAAUAUUGCACAAUGGGCGCAAGCCUGAUGCAGCCAUGCCGCGUGUAUGAAGAAGGCCUUCGGGUUGUAAAGUACUUUCAGUCGUGAGGAAGGUGUUAAGGUUAAUAACCUUAGCAAUUGACGUUAGCGACAGAAGAAGCACCGGCUAACUCCGUGCCAGCAGCCGCGGUAAUACGGAGGGUGCGAGCGUUAAUCGGAAUUACUGGGCGUAAAGGGCACGCAGGCGGUUAAUUAAGUUGGAUGUGAAAUCCCCGGGCUUAACCUGGGAAUGGCAUUCAAGACUGGUUAGCUAGAGUCUUGUAGAGGGGGUAGAAUUCCAUGUGUAGCGGUGAAAUGCGUAGAGAUGUGGAGGAAUACCGGUGGCGAAGGCGGCCCCUGGACAAAGACUGACGCUCAUGUGCGAAAGUGUGGGGAGCAAACAGGGAUUAGAUACC
This 453-nucleotide ribosomal RNA is filed under the name uncultured bacterium. RNAcentral's name for it is "bacterial SSU rRNA". It matches the Rfam family "Bacterial small subunit ribosomal RNA", at positions 340 to 786 of the family's 1533-position model. The record is from RNAcentral.